CACGUAGGGUGCGAGCGUUGUCCGGAAUUACUGGGCGUAAAGGGCUCGUAGGCGGCCAACUAAGUCAUACGUGAAAUCCCUCAGCUUAACUGGGGAACUGCGUGUGAUACUGGAUGGCUUGGAUUCGGGAGAGGGAUGCGGAAUUCCAGGUGUAGCGGUGAAAUGCGUAGAUAUCUGGAGGAACACCGGUGGCGAAGGCGGCAUCCUGGACCGAUAUUGACGCUGAGGAGCGAAAGCCAGGGGAGCAAACGGG
This 253-nucleotide ribosomal RNA is filed under the name uncultured bacterium. Its description in RNAcentral is "partial 16S ribosomal RNA". It matches the Rfam family "Bacterial small subunit ribosomal RNA", at positions 524 to 776 of the family's 1533-position model. The record is from RNAcentral.